UAUAACUUUAAUAUUUGAAUGAAAAUAUAUUGAAUUAACUAUCCAAGUCUCAUUAAUGACCUUUCUUGUUGAUACUUUUAUUCAUUUGUCUGCUUUAUCAGGAAUGGGUGAACAAAAUGCUCUCCCAUUCCUGAUCAAUUUCAUCAAACAUCUAUUUGAUGUGUACAAUUAUCAUGAAGUCUAUGUUGAAUCAUCCACAAUCCUCUGACCAUCGGACCAUGAGGCCCUUUGCUGGGAUAACUACAAAUACAUUUUUAAAAUUGAGUAAUUCAAAUAAGCGUUCUGUCUUUAUAUAUGACGUACAUACAUCUUAAGGAAAAUGCAAUACUCUACCUUUCUCCUCCAAAGACUGUUUGAGACUGUAUCCUAAACGCCCUACCUACUGUACACAUGAAAGUAAAAUAGACCAUCACAACAACUGUAGUAAGUCAAAGCUUUGAUGGAAAAUCUUACUCCACCCCCAUGCUACUGGAACGACCCCGCAUGGCUGUGAUUUUUGACCAACAUCCAACGCAAGGCGCAUUGUAUUGCAUCCACUUUUGGAAGGUGGUUAAAUGUCAGAGUUUAUUUGGCACUGUUGCUCAGCACACCUUUGUGUGAAAUCUAACCAGCUCUGCAUCAGUGAGUACCACUCUUCAUAUUUUCCCGCAGGUUGGAUCAUGUGGGUAUUCCUGUCAUUGGCAAGGACUGGGGAGGUUUUUGUUCUUCAUCAAUGAAACGAAAUAGAGCUGUGCUCAGGAAAAAUACGAGAGGGUCCUGGUUCAAUCUGUUUGUCUGUAGACACCGGAAGAUAAAUUCACAGACGGUUACACAGGACACAGGGCCAAAUCUACAGUCAUUGCUUUGUAGGUGUGAGAACUCCCUACAAACUUACCAAAAAGAAUCACCUUUCAUUUUAUAUUACUUUGUCGUUAGAGAAUGUUUCUUGGAUAAUGAAGACCAGUGCAUUUUUAUUUUUAUUGUAAUGCAACAAAAUGUGGGGGGAAAAAUCAAGGGUUGAAUACUUUUCAAAGGCACAAUAUGUAAUUUACUGUACCAGUUAACAUUUUUGUUAUGUUUGAGAACUGUGGAGGAUCUCUGGAUUUUGUACCAUCAAUGUGAUUCCAACAUGAAUUCACCUUUAUUAUUCUCUUGGUCAAGAUGGACGGUGUACUGUGACUGUUCCUACCUGUGGUGAUAUUUUUGGUUAGAAAACACUCGCCUAAAGUAGUGUAAUACAUAUGAUGGGAUAAUACUGUACAUUGAAUCUUUUAUAUGUUUUGCCAUGUAACUACUGCAUUACAAUCAUUUUGAUACACUUUAUUUCUUUAUUCCAAUUUAUUUGUGAGGGAGGGAUCUGUUUUUUGUCUUAUUUUUUUUUUAAACAUCUGUAAUAAAUUACACAAAACCUUG
Molecule: long non-coding RNA, 1392 nt
Organism: Esox lucius (northern pike)
Lineage: Eukaryota; Metazoa; Chordata; Actinopteri; Esociformes; Esocidae
Source: Ensembl